This 792-nucleotide ribosomal RNA is filed under the name uncultured archaeon. RNAcentral describes it as "bacterial SSU rRNA". It matches the Rfam family "Archaeal small subunit ribosomal RNA", at positions 85 to 879 of the family's 1478-position model. The record is from RNAcentral.
ACUGCUCAGUAACACGUGGGUAACCUGCCCUAUGCUGGAUAAUAACCUCGGGAAACUGAGAAUAAUGAUCCAUAGUUCACUACGCCUGGAACGGUGAGUGGAUGAAAGCUCCGGCGGCAUAGGAUGGGCCUGCGGCGUAUCAGGUUGUAGGGGGUGUAACGUACCCUCUAGCCCUCUACGCGUACGGGUGUUGGGAGACAUAGCCCGGAGAUGGAUUCUGAGACACGAAUCCAGACCCUACGGGGUGCAGCAGGCGCGAAAACUUGGCAAUGCGAGAAAUCGUGACCAGGGAACUCCAAGUGCAUCGGGUAAGACCGGUGCUUUUCUUGACUCUAAAUAGGUCUUGGAAUAAGGGGUGGGUAAGGACGGUGCCAGCCGCCGCGGUAAUACCGGCGCCUCAAGUGGUAGUCGCUUUUAUUGGGCCUAAGACGUCCGUAGCCGGUCUGAUACAUUCGUGGGUAAAUCAACCAGCUUAACUGGUUGAAUUCUGCGAGGACGGUCAGACUUGGGACCGGGAGAGGUGUAGGGUACGCUCAGGGUAGGGGUAAAAUCCUGUCAUCCUGAGCGGACCACCUGUUGCGAAGGCGCCACACUAGAACGGAUCCGACGGUCAGGGACGAAGCCUAGGGGCACGAACCGGAUUAGAUACCCGGGUAGUCCUAGGUGUAAACGCUGUGGACUUGAUGUUGGGGGUGCUCCGAGCACUCUCAGUGUCGAAGCGAAGGUGAUAAGUCCACUGCCUGGGAAGUACGGUCGCAAGGCUGAAACUUAAAGGAAUUGGCGGGGGAGCAC